Molecule: non-coding RNA, 73 nt
Organism: Bos taurus (domestic cattle)
Lineage: Eukaryota; Metazoa; Chordata; Mammalia; Artiodactyla; Bovidae
Source: Rfam
UCCCUGGUGGUCCAGUGGCAAAGACUCGGUGCUCCCAAUGCUGGAAGCCCAGGUUCGAUCCCUGAUCAGGGAA